RNAcentral lists this ribosomal RNA (496 nucleotides) under uncultured bacterium. Its description in RNAcentral is "partial 16S ribosomal RNA". It matches the Rfam family "Bacterial small subunit ribosomal RNA", at positions 29 to 507 of the family's 1533-position model. The record is from RNAcentral.
GUGAACGCUGGCGGCGUGCCUAAUACAUGCAAGUCGAGCGAACGGACGAGAAGCUUGCUUCUCUGAUGUUAGCGGCGGACGGGUGAGUAACACGUGGAUAACCUACCUAUAAGACUGGGAUAACUUCGGGAAACCGGAGCUAAUACCGGAUAAUAUUUUGAACCGCAUGGUUCAAAAGUGAAAGACGGUCUUGCUGUCACUUAUAGAUGGAUCCGCGCUGCAUUAGCUAGUUGGUAAGGUAACGGCUUACCAAGGCAACGAUGCAUAGCCGACCUGAGAGGGUGAUCGGCCACACUGGAACUGAGACACGGUCCAGACUCCUACGGGAGGCAGCAGUAGGGAAUCUUCCGCAAUGGGCGAAAGCCUGACGGAGCAACGCCGCGUGAGUGAUGAAGGUCUUCGGAUCGUAAAACUCUGUUAUUAGGGAAGAACAUAUGUGUAAGUAACUGUGCACAUCUUGACGGUACCUAAUCAGAAAGCCACGGCUAACUACGUG